RNAcentral lists this transfer RNA (68 nucleotides) under Octopus salutii. Its description in RNAcentral is "tRNA-Ile". The record is from RNAcentral. Lineage: Eukaryota; Metazoa; Mollusca; Cephalopoda; Octopoda; Octopodidae.
GGUAUAGCGCCGGAAUGAACGGAUUAUAUUGAUGUUAUAAACCAUAAGAAUUUAUGUCUUCUAUACCU